This 174-nucleotide ribosomal RNA is filed under the name Paracanthonchus sp. ELE026. RNAcentral describes it as "partial 18S ribosomal RNA". It matches the Rfam family "Eukaryotic small subunit ribosomal RNA", at positions 245 to 417 of the family's 1831-position model. The record is from RNAcentral. Lineage: Eukaryota; Metazoa; Nematoda; Chromadorea; Chromadorida; Cyatholaimidae.
GGUGAAUCUGAAUAACUCAGUUGAUCGCACAGUCCUUGCACUGGCGACGUAUCUUUCAAGUGUCUGCCUUAUCAACUUUCGAUGGUAGUUUACAUGACUACCAUGGUUGUAACGGGUAACGGAGAAUAAGGGUUCGACUCCGGAGAGGGAGCCUGAGAAACGGCUACCACAUCC